Molecule: microRNA precursor, 59 nt
Filed under: Monodelphis domestica (gray short-tailed opossum)
Lineage: Eukaryota; Metazoa; Chordata; Mammalia; Didelphimorphia; Didelphidae
Description: microRNA mdo-mir-7373d precursor
Source: miRBase by way of RNAcentral
AAGCCCUUUUAUUAUUUGUAGAAGUGAUCUUAUUGAUCUAGCAAUAAUGAAGGGCUUGC